AGUGAACGCUGGCGGUAGGCCUAACACAUGCAAGUCGAACGGCAGCACAGUAAGAGCUUGCUCUUACGGGUGGCGAGUGGCGGACGGGUGAGGAAUACAUCGGAAUCUACUUUUUCGUGGGGGAUAACGUAGGGAAACUUACGCUAAUACCGCAUACGACCUACGGGUGAAAGCAGGGGAUCUUCGGACCUUGCGCGAUUGAAUGAGCCGAUGUCGGAUUAGCCAGUUGGCGGGGUAAAGGCCCACCAAGGCGACGAUCCGUAGCUGGUCUGAGAGGAUGAUCAGCCACACUGGAACUGAGACACGGUCCAGACUCCUACGGGAGGCAGCAGUGGGGAAUAUUGGACAAUGGGCGCAAGCCUGAUCCAGCCAUACCGCGUGGGUGAAGAAGGCCUUCGGGUUGUAAAGCCCUUUUGUUGGGAAAGAAAAGCAGCAGGUUAAUACCCCGCUGUUCUGACGGUACCCAAAGAAUAAGCGCCGGCUAACUUCGUG
RNAcentral lists this ribosomal RNA (492 nucleotides) under uncultured bacterium. RNAcentral describes it as "partial 16S ribosomal RNA". It matches the Rfam family "Bacterial small subunit ribosomal RNA", at positions 29 to 507 of the family's 1533-position model. The record is from RNAcentral.